GGAAUUUUCGUCAAUGGGGGGAAACCCUGAACGAGCAAUGCCGCGUGAGUGAAGAAGGUCUUCGGAUCGUAAAGCUCUGUUGUAAGUGAAGAACGGCUCAUAGAGGAAAUGCUAUGGGAGUGACGGUAGCUUACCAGAAAGCCACGGCUAACUACGUGCCAGCAGCCGCGGUAAUACGUAGGUGGCAAGCGUUAUCCGGAAUCAUUGGGCGUAAAGGGUGCGUAGGUGGCGUACUAAGUCUGUAGUAAAAGGCAAUGGCUCAACCAUUGUAAGCUAUGGAAACUGGUAUGCUGGAGUGCAGAAGAGGGCGAUGGAAUUCCAUGUGUAGCGGUAAAAUGCGUAGAUAUAUGGAGGAACACCAGUGGCGAAGGCGGUCGCCUGGUCUGUAACUGACACUGAGGCACGAAAGCGUGGGGAGCAAAUA
Molecule: ribosomal RNA, 424 nt
Filed under: uncultured bacterium
Lineage: Bacteria
Description: bacterial SSU rRNA
Rfam family: Bacterial small subunit ribosomal RNA
Source: RNAcentral